GUCAGUGCCAUCACUCCGGAGAUUCGCCAGCAGGCUGAGAGGAACUCCAGCAGAUCAGCGCACUCCUGGGAGCUGUCAGGCACGUCUCCAGAGCCAAGUCAAAGUCCGCUGCACAGAAGGCCUCAGGCUUCAGGAGAGAAGCAGCGCCAGCGCAGCCCACGCGAUGAGAAGCUGGCAGGCACCAUCAUAUCUACGCCCCUCUUCAAGACUCUG
Polypterus senegalus (gray bichir) is the source of this 213-nucleotide long non-coding RNA. RefSeq lists it as uncharacterized. The record is from RefSeq and is a predicted model, not a curated record. NCBI's taxonomy places the organism in Eukaryota, Metazoa, Chordata, Cladistia, Polypteriformes, Polypteridae. The transcript is spliced from 3 exons.